Long non-coding RNA from Fukomys damarensis (Damara mole-rat), 354 nucleotides. Lineage: Eukaryota; Metazoa; Chordata; Mammalia; Rodentia; Bathyergidae. The record is from Ensembl.
CCUCCCUUUCGGACACACACAUUAAAGAAGACUUCCGGAACUACUUCAGAAAGUGUUGCUGUCUUACUGUUUAUUCCUUGGAGUUGGCGCAGAUCGAAGUUAGAGUAACAACAAAAGCUCCUUUCACCUUCCAUCUCCUGACAUAUGGUGUCACCCUCAUAUGGCAGACCCUGGAGGAUAUCAUAUAUCACAGAAAACCUACUACCCUGCUGACCCUUAGAGAAGAAAUUGAAAAUGCAGGUGCAGCCCAAGGUUAACCAAGCAGCAGUAUGCCAUACUAAUGAACGUCUGGAAGCUCGUGGCCACACUUUGAGUGCCUCUUGUAAUUGUAGAGGCCAAAGGUAACUUGUAUUA